GACGAACGCUGGCGGCGUGCUUAACACAUGCAAGUCGAACGGUGAACGAGGGAGCUUGCUCCCUCCGGAUCAGUGGCGAACGGGUGAGUAACACGUGAGCAAUCUGCCCCGAACUCUGGGAUAAGCGUUGGAAACGACGUCUAAUACCGGAUACGACGCGGGAGGGCAUCCUCUCCGCGUGGAAAGAACUUCGGUUCGGGAUGAGCUCGCGGCCUAUCAGCUUGUUGGUGAGGUAACGGCUCACCAAGGCGACGACGGGUAGCCGGCCUGAGAGGAUGACCGGCCACACUGGGACUGAGACACGGCCCAGACUCCUACGGGAGGCAGCAGUGGGGAAUAUUGCACAAUGGGCGCAAGCCUGAUGCAGCAACGCCGCGUGAGGGACGACGGCCUUCGGGUUGUAAACCUCUUUUAGCAGGGAAGAAGCGAAAGUGACGGUACCUGCAGAAAAAGCACCGGCUAACUACGUG
RNAcentral lists this ribosomal RNA (470 nucleotides) under uncultured bacterium. Its description in RNAcentral is "partial 16S ribosomal RNA". It matches the Rfam family "Bacterial small subunit ribosomal RNA", at positions 28 to 507 of the family's 1533-position model. The record is from RNAcentral.